This is a long non-coding RNA of Ictalurus punctatus (channel catfish), 1100 nucleotides long. The record is from Ensembl. NCBI's taxonomy places the organism in Eukaryota, Metazoa, Chordata, Actinopteri, Siluriformes, Ictaluridae.
UCAAAAACUCAAGAACAUCUUAAAGAUGCACCUUUAAAGAAAAUUAUUUAAUUCAAUUCAGUUCAAUUUUAUUUGUAUAGCAUUUUUUACAAUAGACAUUGUCUCAAAGCAGCUUUACAGAAAUAUCAACAUGCUAUACAGAUAUUAAAAGGUGUGAAUUUAUCCCAACUGAGCAAGCCACUGAGUGUCGACGGUGGCAAGGAAAAACUUCCUAAGAUGUUUUAAGAGGAAGAAACCUUGAGAGGAACCAGACUCAGAAGGGAACCCAUCCUCCUCUGGGUCACAACAGAUAGCGUGAAACAGUUCAGUAUGGAUUUAUAUGAAGUCUGUAUGGCGUUAGGAGCAGCCGUAGUCCCAGCAGUCUGGAAUUAAAGAAGAUUUGAGCUCCAUCCAGAGGCAAAAAGGAUCUGGAUCUCUAGUAUCUUCAUAAAUGCAUUUCUUCAAAACCUUUGUAACCCUGUUAUUGAUUCGAAUACUCCCAUGCAACUGGACUCCCCACUCUCUCUUGAAGAAAUUAUAAAUUUAGUUAAAACUAUGCCAUCUAAUUAAGCUCCUGGCCCGGACAGAUUUUCAAUUGAUUUUUUUUUUUUUUUUAAACGUUUAUUGGAAAAUUAGCUCCAUUGCUUUUAUCUGUGUGCAACGAAUCCUUGGAAUGUGGGUCUUUGCCUCCAGCUCUGACACAAGCCCCUACAGCUCUGCUUCUUAAGGAGGGUAAGGAUCCGUCCUCCUGUGGUUCUUAUAGGCCGCUGUCUCUGCUUAAUGCAGAUGUAAAGCUGUUGGCGAAAGUAAUGGCAUCUCGUUUAGAGAACGUACUCCCUCAUAUUAUAUCUGAAGAGCAGAACGGUUUUAUAAAGGGACAUCAAUUGUUUUUCAAUACCUGUACACCAGGGGUCUCAGACUCCCGGCCCGGGGGCCAAUUGCGGCCCGCGGAACGAUAUUUUGUGGCCCCCUACUUGAAAUCAAAGCUUGCUGUUAGUGCAGCCCACCCCCACUAACUUUUUCUUACAUGCACCUGCAUGAGUCAUUGCCCUGGGUGUUUUAUAUUUUUUAACACUUGUGGGCUACCAUAGCUCAGGCUCGUGACAACAACACGAAUUAUC